UCAAAAUCAUAUAUCAUCACCAAC
RNAcentral lists this non-coding RNA (24 nucleotides) under Arabidopsis thaliana (thale cress). The record is from RNAcentral. Lineage: Eukaryota; Viridiplantae; Streptophyta; Magnoliopsida; Brassicales; Brassicaceae.